AUGUUGUACAGAUGAUUGUAUUUAUUUAAAAUGUUUGUGAUCAGUAUUAUAGUAUUUCGAGUGAUUAUUGUUUAUAUAGAUGUAAUAAACAUUCCAUUAGUAACAAGUAUACAAGUAUACAAGUAUACAGGUAUACAAGUAUACAAGGUGAUAUACCGAAUUAUUUUUUUAAAUAAUUUAAGAUACAAAAUGUUGUAGUCGUAUACAUUGCGACUGAACAAGUCUGAAUAUUAAAAUCUAUUUCGUGCCUUAAUGAUACAAACUUACAAAAUAAUUAAUAUUUAAUAUUAGUAUAAGUAAGAUAUAAUAACUGUGAUGAAGACGAAUAUGAUUUACUUUUAGUUUUGUGUGAAAUAAAAUCGUGUGAUGUUUUUA
Molecule: long non-coding RNA, 375 nt
Organism: Papilio xuthus (Asian swallowtail)
Lineage: Eukaryota; Metazoa; Arthropoda; Insecta; Lepidoptera; Papilionidae
Exons: 2
Source: RefSeq, a predicted model, not a curated record